UUCGCCUGGUUCCGCUGGCAGUUUUAGCGGCAAUAAAAGGCACAAUUUUUGAUGUCAGCUAACGAAAAAGCGAUAUUUAUCACUUUUUCAUUGCUGGCUACUGGACAAAAGCCUCGGCAAUUGCUGUACUAGCUAACGACACAGUUUAGUGUCCAUUUUUCAUGUAAAGGUAAUAUAGAUGUCUAAGAUUAAAGGUAGCGUUAAGUGGUUUAAUGAGUCCAAAGGAUUCGGUUUCAUUACUCCUGAAGAUGGUAGCAAAGACGUGUUCGUACACUUCUCUGCCAUCCAGAGCAACGGUUUCAAAACUCUGGCUGAAGGUCAGCGCGUAGAGUUCGAAAUCACCAACGGUGCCAAAGGCCCAUCUGCUGCUAACGUUGCCGCUAUUUAAGUUAUCAGACAGAAUUUUAAAAACCCGCCGAAUGGCGGGUUUUUUUUU
Erwinia mallotivora is the source of this 436-nucleotide regulatory RNA element. It matches the Rfam family "cspA thermoregulator". Lineage: Bacteria; Pseudomonadati; Pseudomonadota; Gammaproteobacteria; Enterobacterales; Erwiniaceae. The record is from Rfam.